This 465-nucleotide ribosomal RNA is filed under the name uncultured bacterium. RNAcentral's name for it is "partial 16S ribosomal RNA". It matches the Rfam family "Bacterial small subunit ribosomal RNA", at positions 28 to 507 of the family's 1533-position model. The record is from RNAcentral.
GACGAACGCUGGCGGCGUGCUUAACACAUGCAAGUCGAACGGAAAGGCCCUGCUUGCAGGGUACUCGAGUGGCGAACGGGUGAGUAACACGUGGGUGAUCUGCCCUGCACUUCGGGAUAAGCCUGGGAAACUGGGUCUAAUACCGGAUAGGAGCCAUUUUUAGUGUGAUGGUUGGAAAGUUUUUUCGGUGUAGGAUGAGCUCGCGGCCUAUCAGCUUGUUGGUGGGGUAAUGGCCUACCAAGGCGGCGACGGGUAGCCGGCCUGAGAGGGUGGACGGCCACAUUGGGACUGAGAUGCGGCCCAGACUCCUACGGGAGGCAGCAGGGGGGAAUAUUGCACAAUGGGCGCAAGCCGGAUGCAGCGACGCCGCGGGGGGGAUGACGGCCUUCGGGUUGUAAACUCCUUUCGCUAGGGACUAAGCUUGUUGUGACGGUACCUAGAGAAGAAGCACCGGCUAACUACGUG